GAUCCUGGCUCAGGACGAACGCUGGCGGCGUGCCUAAUACAUGCAAGUAGAACGCUGAAGGAGGAGCUUGCUUCUCCGGAUGAGUUGCGAACGGGUGAGUAACGCGUAGGUAACCUGCCUGGUAGCGGGGGAUAACUAUUGGAAACGAUAGCUAAUACCGCAUAACAGUAGAUAUCGCAUGAUAACUGCUUAAAAGGUGCAAUUGCAUCACUACCAGAUGGACCUGCGUUGUA
This 233-nucleotide ribosomal RNA is filed under the name uncultured bacterium. Its description in RNAcentral is "partial 16S ribosomal RNA". It matches the Rfam family "Bacterial small subunit ribosomal RNA", at positions 15 to 240 of the family's 1533-position model. The record is from RNAcentral.